This is a non-coding RNA of Pelobates cultripes (western spadefoot toad), 217 nucleotides long. The record is from the annotation of a GenBank genome assembly. Lineage: Eukaryota; Metazoa; Chordata; Amphibia; Anura; Pelobatidae.
UGCACACUGAUAUAUUUUGUUUUGUGGUAUUCAAUGUUUAAGUGUUUUGGGAAGCACUGCUAUAUCAGGCACACUGCCUGUUGAAUCAUUCAGCUACGUAUUUUUUGUUAUCCAAUAGUGAAGCGCCUACACACUAUUUUUGGAUAUUCUAAAAACACAACUAAAGAAUGUGUUCAUCCACUCAUUAUUUCCAGACUUGACUAUUGCAACUCACUAC